RNAcentral lists this ribosomal RNA (496 nucleotides) under uncultured bacterium. RNAcentral describes it as "partial 16S ribosomal RNA". It matches the Rfam family "Bacterial small subunit ribosomal RNA", at positions 28 to 506 of the family's 1533-position model. The record is from RNAcentral.
GAUGAACGCUGGCGGCGUGCCUAAUACAUGCAAGUCGAGCGAACAGACGAGGAGCUUGCUCCUCUGACGUUAGCGGCGGACGGGUGAGUAACACGUGGAUAACCUACCUAUAAGACUGGGAUAACUUCGGGAAACCGGAGCUAAUACCGGAUAAUAUAUUGAACCGCAUGGUUCAAUAGUGAAAGACGGUUUUGCUGUCACUUAUAGAUGGAUCCGCGCCGCAUUAGCUAGUUGGUAAGGUAACGGCUUACCAAGGCAACGAUGCGUAGCCGACCUGAGAGAGUGUUCGGCCACACUGGAACUGAGACACGGCCCAGACUCCUACGGGAGGCAGCAGUAGGGAAUCUUCCGCAAUGGGCGAAAGCUUGACGGAGCAACGCCGCGUGAGUGAUGAAGGUCUUCGGAUCGUAAAACUCUGUUAUUAGGGAAGAACAAAUGUGUAAGUAACUAUGCACGUCUUGACGGUACCUAAUCAGAAAGCCACGGCUAACUACGU